RNAcentral lists this ribosomal RNA (449 nucleotides) under uncultured archaeon. Its description in RNAcentral is "bacterial SSU rRNA". It matches the Rfam family "Archaeal small subunit ribosomal RNA", at positions 474 to 922 of the family's 1478-position model. The record is from RNAcentral.
UACCGGCGGCUCGAGUGGUGGCCGCUAUUACUGGGCUUAAAGGGUCCGUAGCUGGAUUUACAAGUCCCUUGAGAAAUCCGCCGGCUUAACUGGCGGGCGUUCAGGGGAAACUGUAAUUCUAGGGACCGGGAGAGGUGAGAGGUACUGCCGGGGUAGGAGUGAAAUCCUGUAAUCCCGGUGGGACCACCAAUGGCGAAGGCAUCUCACUAGAACGGCUCCGACAGUGAGGGACGAAAGCUGGGGGAGCAAACCGGAUUAGAUACCCGGGUAGUCCCAGCUGUAAACGAUGCGCGUUAGGUGUAUCGGUGACCACGAGUCAUCGAGGUGCCGAAGGGAAACCGUGAAACGUGCCGCCUGGGAAGUACGGUCGCAAGGCUGAAACUUAAAGGAAUUGGCGGGGGAGCACCGCAACGGGAGGAGCGUGCGGUUCAAUUGGAUUCAACGCCGGA